AAAAAAAGGAUAAUUAUGUAAUGUGAUAGAGGUGCCAAUUAUUGCAACAAUGGAAAUCAUAUUACAAUAUAUAAAUGUAACAAAUUAACAUGUUAUACACCUUAAAUUUACACAAUAUUAUAUGUCAAAUAUAUUUCAAAAAAAAAGAAAAGCAGAACAUUAGCAGCACCCUAGAAGCCUCCGUUCUGCCCCCUGUCAUUCCCUGACCCCAAAGUAAUUACUAUCCUGACUCCUAACAACCUAGAUUAUAUUCACAUAUUAUUGAACAUUUUAUGAGAUCAUACAGUAUAUAUCCUGGUGGGUAUGUAUGCAACAGUAGAAUCACUGGGUUAUAGGAUUUGGCGUAUGUUUAGCUUUAGGAAACAUUACCAAACCAUUUUCCAGAAAGUGUUGUUCAGUUUAUAUUCCCAUCAGCCAUAUAUGAGAGUUCUGGUUCUUCUGUAUCUUCAAAAAUACUUAGUAUUUUUUUUUCAUUUUAGUCAUUCUAGUGAGUGUUGUACACAUAUUUCAACAAAGCAAAGAAGGAUAGAGUAAAUGAUACCAUUUAAAUGUCUCUUGCUCUUCUCCUCAGUGACUAGAGAACCCAUGUGAGAGCAAAUACUAAGCAGUCGAUAUGUAGAUCUCAGUCCCUGUGUGCUGGCUGAGCGUGACGGUGGCAUUUAGUGAUACACGUUAUUUUUUAUACAACAUGGGCCUCUAACAAUCUAAUGACUUCAUCUGGUACUCACCCAUUGAAAGAGUCGUUUCAAUUCUGGAGGAUAAUCUGGCUGUGCAGACAGAUAGGUUAUACUUAGGUCUCAAAAUGGCCUAUUUCUAAGCAAUUUUGAUCACAUCUGACCUCCUCCUUAUUUGCUGACCUUGAAACCUAACCUCACUUCAGAUUUAUGCAUUUGAAGGGGGCGGGGGAAGUGGGUGAGGUGAGAAGACAACAAAACACACCAGCCCCUCUAGAAAGUCAGGUUUACAUAGACUCAUACUAUCUUGGUGUCCAAAAUGGAAACUGAGGCCCAAUGAGGUUUGCUGGUGUGUCAGGCCUAGACCUUUUGACUCCAAGAUCAGUGUAAGCUUUCCUAGGCCACUUGUCAGUCCACAAAGGUAAUCUCUUCUACCCUCAUUUGCACUGGGUCACAUUCUCUGAGCUGCACAGCCACUGCUGAAAGCUUUGGGGUGAGGACACAUUUGGUUUGCUCAUUUCCUUAAAGCAGGCCCCCUAGUUGUUUCCUAAUGUAUGGAGAUAUCCUGUUUCAAACGACCUGCAAGAAAAGACAGACAGGCUGUUACGAUCUCUCUCGUGGGCAUUGUGCAGAUAUGAAGCUAUUGUCUCCCAGCUUAAAUCCCACCCUUUUAUACACUAGUUUGUGACGCUUGGGCUGCGAGCACACCAGCUUGGCUCUGCUAUAGGCGGCAUCAGAGGGAGACUGGAAGGCAAGAGGAGAGAGCAGGGGAGACUUGCUGCUUCUACCACGCUUCCUAGUCUGUCCGCAUCACUCCAUCACUCCAGUCUUCCUUCUUAACUCCACCAGUCGGUGUCAUCCAGUAGCAACAGCAUUCACUGCCUGCCGGGCGCUGUGCUCACUGUCUUACAGGCACUCCUCACAGCAGCAGUAGCAGAAUGACGUUACCAAGAUGGUGACAUACGACAUUCCUGACUUGGCUCCCUCUCACAAGAACAUUUAACAACUAUUCAUGAACAAGACAGCACUGAGAGAAUCCUACAACACAAGGGUGAGGCUGAAGCCCCUCUGCACCAUAGAGACCAAGACAGACCGCGUUAGAAGGCUAAGAGGAUUGGCCACAUGCUGUCUGCUUCACUCCUCUCCAGGCUGGCCCAGCACCACACUGAGAGGUCUCCCCUGGGCCUACAGUUCCUCCAGGAGGAAAAGAAAGCCCAGAAUGGACAUCCAGCUGCCUCAGUGUUGUGGAUCACAUCUUGGGAGCCCUCACUCUGAUCUUACCCCACAGGGAUUGCAGGAGAAUCUGUGGGGCCCGUCCACUGGGGAUCAGAUUGUGAUGGAGAAGCGGGGAGGGGCUUGCAACAAUCAGCACUCAGAUCUUGCAGACAGAGUUCCUACCUG
Molecule: long non-coding RNA, 2075 nt
Filed under: Equus caballus (horse)
Lineage: Eukaryota; Metazoa; Chordata; Mammalia; Perissodactyla; Equidae
Description: lncRNA (ENSECAG00000057872.1)
Source: RNAcentral